AUGGCUCCUGCCCCCGCGAUGGCCCGCCGGGCGCCCAGAGCCACCUCUGCCCGUCUCCGCUCCCCGCAGGCGUUUGGACCCACUUCCCCUCUUCCAUUUUCACGCAAGAGCCCUCUCCCACGUGGGGGGAAUCCAUUGUUAUGGACAAGCCUGCACCUGGCCUCAUCUCUGGAGGCGUGGCCGGGGGCGGGGCGGGGCGGGGCUGUGACUGAUGCUCCGCCCACCUGUGCAGGCCGUGGGUGCUGUAGGUUAUCGUCGAGUGUCCCUGGCAACUUGGAGCUGGCGUUUCCUUCAGGGAGCAGCUCCCGGAGGGGAAGCGGUAUCCUUUUUAGAAAGGAGAGUCUGCGCGCUCCUGUGCCCUGUCCCAACUCCCGUGGCUGGCUGCACCGUCCCCGCCCCCCACAGGCUCCCCUCCGCUUCACUCCUGCGGCUCCUCCCAGGCUCGGGAAACCUCCACCCCUGCCCCCUCCUAGGACAGGGCCCUGCCCUCCUGCCCCCCCCCCCCCGGCUUCCGGCCACUCCCGGAUGGACCAUCCUCCCUCAGCUCCUCUAAUCCUGACGCAUCCUCUGGCCUCCCAUCGAGGCUUCCUUCGUCCGCGAGCUCGGACGCGCGUGGGGCCCGACUCCUGUCCACACAGCCUGCCCUCAGAGAGGCCUGGGGGAGCGGACGUGGCUGCCUUUCCCAGCUCUGCGGCCCCCAGGGCCUUGGUUUCUCGUGUGCGAAGCCCUGGUCCACCAGCGGAUGGGGUCUUGAAUUCUGGGGCCGCAGGGCCGACACUUCCGGUCCACGCGUGUGGCCUGCGUGGCCCGCUUCUCCGCCUGAGAGGACAUCCCCUCGGUGAGCGGGCUCGAGCCCCUCACUUGAAGGUACCAACGUGUCCUGUCCUCUCCACCUGGGGGGCGCCAGGACCUUCUCCACGGGGCUGGGGGUCCACGGGGCGCGCGUGCAGUGGGCACCGUGACCAGGGGCUCCUCCCCACGGCCGCGACUGCCGCCAUGGACGUGGACCCAGAGCCCACUGCGCCCCAGCAGGUGCGGCUCCCGCCCCCGCCCACACCGUGA
RNAcentral lists this long non-coding RNA (1062 nucleotides) under Oryctolagus cuniculus (rabbit). RNAcentral's name for it is "lncRNA (ENSOCUG00000030729.1)". Lineage: Eukaryota; Metazoa; Chordata; Mammalia; Lagomorpha; Leporidae. The record is from RNAcentral.